CCGUGAGGGAAGGGUGAAAAGUACCCCGGGAGGGGAGUGAAAGAGUUCCUGAAACCGGUCGCAUGCAAGCCGUCAGAGCCUGUGUGGUGAUGGCGUGCCUUUUGAAGAAUGAGCCUGCGAGUUAGUGAUGCGUGGCGAGGUUAACCCGUGGUGGGGGAGUCGUAGCGAAAGCGAGUCCGAUAAGGGCGUGAGUCGCGUGUUCUAGACCCGAAGCGGUGUGAUCUAUCCAUGGCCAGGAUGAAGCGUCGGUAAGACGUCGUGGAGGUCCGAACCCACUUCAGUUAAAAAUGGAGGGGAUGAGUUGUGGAUAGGGGUGAAAGGCCAAU
RNAcentral lists this ribosomal RNA (326 nucleotides) under Chloropicon mariensis. Its description in RNAcentral is "partial Bacterial large subunit ribosomal RNA". It matches the Rfam family "Bacterial large subunit ribosomal RNA", at positions 501 to 833 of the family's 2925-position model. The record is from RNAcentral. Lineage: Eukaryota; Viridiplantae; Chlorophyta; Chloropicophyceae; Chloropicales; Chloropicaceae.